GAAUGUGAGGUGGUUUUCAUCCGUCACCUCAUUGAUCACCAGGGUUGAUUCAGCGAAUCUGGCUGGCUAGAUGUGUCCCCUUUCUCGGUCACCGCUGCAUGCUAGGUGGGUUAAAGACGAUGACUUUCCACAUAGAGAAGGACCCUUUCCUUAGUCAAGGGUGUCCAGGUA
This 171-nucleotide small nuclear RNA is filed under the name Fukomys damarensis (Damara mole-rat). RNAcentral's name for it is "7SK RNA". It matches the Rfam family "7SK RNA", at positions 1 to 200 of the family's 331-position model. Rfam says of the family: 7SK was discovered as an abundant small nuclear RNA in the mid-70s but a possible function has only recently been suggested. Lineage: Eukaryota; Metazoa; Chordata; Mammalia; Rodentia; Bathyergidae. The record is from Rfam by way of RNAcentral.